AGCUUUGUGCAGUGGCAGUAUCGUAGCUAAUGAGGUUUAUCCAAGGUGUGAUUAUUGCUAAUUAAAUAUAGUAGUGCAUACGUGUUGAUCCCAAAUGUUUUCUGAUUCAGCGAUUUUAAUUCCCAAGCAUGGA
Molecule: small nuclear RNA, 133 nt
Organism: Bison bison bison
Lineage: Eukaryota; Metazoa; Chordata; Mammalia; Artiodactyla; Bovidae
Gene: U4
Rfam family: U4 spliceosomal RNA
About the family: U4 small nuclear RNA (U4 snRNA) is a component of the major U2-dependent spliceosome. The structure of U4 snRNA from yeast and human has been reported.
Source: Ensembl